Cajanus cajan (pigeon pea) is the source of this 147-nucleotide non-coding RNA. Lineage: Eukaryota; Viridiplantae; Streptophyta; Magnoliopsida; Fabales; Fabaceae. The record is from RefSeq and is a predicted model, not a curated record.
CAAGAAAGGAGCUUAAAAAAUAAAGUUAAUCGAAGCAAGCAAGAGAUGAAAUCAAUUACCGGUACAAAAUCAAUUGUGCAAAAGGCAUUUGAAAUGAAACAAGAAUCCAAAGCUGAUGAAUGGCCAAACGCUAUGGAAGUUUGGAAA